Molecule: non-coding RNA, 734 nt
Organism: Equus caballus (horse)
Lineage: Eukaryota; Metazoa; Chordata; Mammalia; Perissodactyla; Equidae
Source: RefSeq, a predicted model, not a curated record
UCAAAUACCAGUAGGGUCAACCAUGGAAGACAGGUUUCAGUGGCACUUCCAAACUAACACAGAGUAGGAGGAACACCCACUUCUGGGACAAUUGGCCAUGAAAACCCUACAAAUAGCAGCGGAGCAUUGUCUGAGGUAGCACCGGAAGAUUGGUUAUGAAUUAUUUGCAUUGACAACUGUCAACCCCAGUUUUGCCUGAUGGAGUGAAAACACCUGCAUCCCAGCAGCCUUCAGGAAUUCUGGCAUCAAUGUCUAAAGGUACAGCUACAUUUUCUUGUAGAGUGAUCAUCCCUGCUUCUGGCAACCACAGUUGCAGCCCUGACCCAGGGACAACAGCAUAAGGUUCUGGAGGCACAGCAGUGGAUAAGGGAGAUAUUCUGAAGGGGAGACAUAUUCUGAGCAAGUAGGUGGUCCAACUACGUCCUCUUCCUCACAUUCCCACAGAGGGGAGGAGCCUCUCUACCCUGGAUGAAGCGCUUUGGAGCACACCUGCCCUCUCUGUCCUCUAGUUGACACAAUUUGUGAAACAGGAAAAAGGCACUGAGGAUGCUCCUCCUCUGUUCUCCUGUUUGGUCAGAUACAUUUCUAACCUUCAGGUUACAGCCUGUGGGAGCAUGUUCUGGACCCUUUGGGCGGGGAUGGGGGUGCUAAUUGUGAUCGUAAUUUGGAGAGAAAUUUUGUUAAAGAUAUAAACGAUGUUUUCCAAUGAACCUCGCUAAUAAAACGUAUUUUUA